Callithrix jacchus (white-tufted-ear marmoset) is the source of this 3291-nucleotide long non-coding RNA. The record is from Ensembl. Lineage: Eukaryota; Metazoa; Chordata; Mammalia; Primates; Cebidae.
CCAUCGGCCAAGCAAGACUUGAUCAUAUCCCAGACCAGAAGGUAUAAGAAUUAAUAAGUAGAUUAAAGUGAUACUAUAUGGACAUUAAGAUGCUCAAUGAUUGAUCACUGAGGCAUCAGGAGGAAUCCGAUAAUUCUUAGAAUUUUGUGCAAACUUACUCUCUCCCUCUCUUUUGUAAGCUUUUUAAAGGUGUGUCUGUAUCUCAUUUCUAUUAUCCCCACAGCCAAGCACUACAAUGGAUGUGAAAUAAAUGUUCAACAAAUGUUGAAUUGAUAAAUAAACACCACACUUGCUGAUGAAGCUGGAGGCUCUCAUUUGAUAGCAGAGGAUAAAGAGCAGAAGAAAAGCAGGUCAGUAAGCUGUAGUGCUCUCAACUGUUACUUCAUAGAAAAGGAAACAAAUUUAGAGUUGUUUGGAACAGUGGUGUUGAUGUUUUCUUAGGUCUCAUGGACACGGCAAUGAGUCCUGACAUGGGGUGGGAGACCAUCUAUUUACAAUCGGCACUCAACAUAAGCCUUUUAAAGUUUUCUGCGGAAGCCGAGAUGAAGUAAAAAUAGCACCGUAUUAUUCUAAGUCUGACUGAUGGGAACAGUUGCAUAAAGGUUUCUUGUUAAGCGCAUCAAACGUUACCCUUUGUGUGACUUUGGUUUAGCUUGCUAGUCUGAUUAAAUUCCAUUCACCAGCAAAGGAAGAGAUUGGUAUUUAUAUGUCUGAAGCUGAUCUGAGUCUGGCUGUCCUAGACAAUGUGGAUAUUUCUGGAGAGAGAGGGAGAGAAAAGCCAGGGUUUAUCCACUUGGUUUAUUAAUGGUCACCAAGAACAAACAGAUACUGUGUAAGGUUUAGUAGAUCUGCCUGCGUCUGAGCUGUUUUACAUCAGCUUUUUUUUCUUUCCUGGAUUUAUAAAGAUUUGCACAGUCAUAUGCCAAAGCAUUUUUUUUUUCUUUAAGCCAUAUGACACACCAGCUCCCCCUUUGCCUUCUGCCAUGAGGAAAAGCUUCAUGAGGCCUUACCAGAAGCCAAGCAGACACUGGCACCAUGCUUCUAUAACCUGCAGAACAGCGAGUCAAGUACAGACGUCUUUAUAAAUUACCCAGCCUCAGGUAUUCUUCUAUAGCAAUGCAAAGUGGACUCAUACACUAAUACACCUAAAUAACUAUUUCUAGUUGGAGGUAUGGGAAAGCUUCAAUGUUUAUUCUUUGGUUUGGUUUGACUGUGCCUGUUUCUCCAUCAAGAAAUAGGCAAGCAUUCGUCUUAGUCAGUGUAACAACUUGGCUCAUUUGGCCAUAGUUAGAACCAUGUCUGUAGAGGGUGAACAGAUUAGUGCUAGUUCCAUGAGGUAGAAAAAAUUCUCACCACUUCUCAGUCUAUUUUUCUAAGUUACUUCCUAAGCUGAAUCUUGCAGGGAAAUUUCUGAGAAAUAGGGGUACAGACUGGGAAUCUAACUGCUUCAUCUUAUCACAUGCUUUGAGGUUAAAGAAAUUAUGGUACAGAGGCAAUUUCAAUAGUAACUGAAUGAUGAUGAUAAUGAUGACGAUGAUGUGUGUGUAUGUGUGUCUAAAUGAUGUCUAUAAAUUAUAGUGGCAGUGUUUAUAAUAAAUGUAAUAGGCAAACAAAGUAAACCUAGGCCCUUGCCCUUACAAAGGUGACUUAAAGACCCUACUAUGUGCCAGCCUUUUUCCAAAUAGCACAUAUUGAAGAGUACAUGGCUUUGCUCAGGGUGUGUCCCUGAAGAUGAAAUCCAUUCCGAGGCAUGUAUUUAAGGAGUUUAAAGAAAAGAGACUGCCAGGAUUUUUUUUGAAAAAUGGAGAUGUUUGAAUAAUUUAGGAGAUUGUCAGUGAUGAGACCACAUAGAGGUUGUGAAACAGGCUAUAGUAUAAGACACGGUUUAUCUCACGGAGGUUGGUUUUAAGAGCUUCUCUCCUUGGGAAGGAGUGAGGGACCUUUAAAUGUGCAGUUGUUUACUUCCUGUUGCUAAGCAUCUCAUUCUCCACAGAAUGUAUGCUGGCUUUAUUGGCAUUUUGAAGAAUAAGCUUCAGUAAUCAUAAAUUAUUCUCUCUUGUUUACUUACGAGGAAAAAUCAAAUUCCUGGAGAUUGAGUUUGCUAACGUCUUUUAAUAGAGCACUUUGGAGAUGUUUUGGUAAAUGGAAAUGAUGACUUCCACAGCUAACCUACAGUGUAAUGUCAUUGGUGUUUGUCUAUAAAGUGAUGCUCUGCUGUCUACAGUUUGAAUCACUAAAUUAUGUCUCCCUUAAACUGAAUAUAUUACAAUAGAAGAAUUUUUAAUAUUAUAUUUUACAAAGAACACUAUUGUAGCUUUUGGUUUUCAUUCUUUUUUUUCUUUCUGUUCAGCUGGAAAGACAUUGAAGUUUCAAUUAAAUAAGAGAUCACAUGACAUUAUAUGUCAAAGCCAGAAGUAAGAAAUUUACCAUACAACUGACUAGGUACUUGGCUAUGGGUGCUUUGAGCAGCACUCUUUCUACGUGGUAUUUAUGUUAAUAUAAAUUGUAUAAAAUUAUUUUAAUGAUAUAUACAUUAUAUAAGUACAUAAAUAGUACAUUAUUUGAAUAUGUAAAAGUAAUAGUAUGAAAUAGCACAAUAAUAUAUAAGUAUGUAAAUAGUUCACAUGUAAAUAUAAUAGUAUAUAAACAGUAUACUAGUAUAGUAAUACAUUAUAUAAAUAUGUAAAUGGUAUAUUAUAUAAGUAUGUAAAUGCAACAGUAUGUAAAUAGUAUAAUAAUGCAUUCCAUAAAUAUGUAAAUAGUAUAUCAUAUAAGUGUGUAAAUAUAUAUAAAUAAUAAAAUUGUAUUAUAAUACAUUACAUAAAUAUGCAGAGGUAAUAGUAUGUAAAUAAUGCAACAGUAGAAUACAUUAUAUAAGUAUGUAAAUAGUACAUUUUGUAAGUAUGGACAGGUAACAUUAUGGUAAUAAUACAACAGUAGAGUACAAUAUAUAAGUAUGUAAAUACUAUGUAUUAUAUAUGUAUCUAACAGCAUUUAUUAUACUGUAAAUGCAUUUUAUAUUAUUUAUUACAUAAUAAAUGUAUGUAAUUACAAAUACUAAUUAACUCUAACAACUGCCACUAGUAGGGUUGUUAGAAUAAGCCCAAAAAAUCCACCCAGGCCCUGCAGUUAAAUUUGAAUUUAAGUCAAUAAACAGAAAUCUUUUUAGUAUAAAUAUGUUUCUUGCAAUAUUUGGGACAUAGUUAUCUUAAAAUAAUUUAUUGUUUUUCUGAAAUUGAAAUUUAACUUGGUGUCCUUUAACUGUUAAUCUUAGUCAUGAGAGUAAUAUAA